CAUGAUAACAGAAAGGGGAAUCAACUAAGGCCAGAGAUAGCGAUGACAGUGCCAGUGGGCAAAUCUCUUCCAUUUCUGCAGCUGUAGGUCUAACUCUUGGAACAGAGCAAGUCCCUUCUGAGUGGAUGACAACACUGCCUUGAAAGACUGGCCUUUGAGAAGAAAGUCAUCAUGGUAUGGGAAGAUGAGAAUUGCUUCCUGCCAAAGGUCUCUGACACCCCUGGAACUGAGCAGGGCUUGAUCUCUGGACAGUCUGUGACCUACUGAAGUGCUUCUUAUAUAAAUACCCAAGGAAAAAUGGGUGGCCCUGGAGUCCUUAAGUGUGUGCAGGGAGUCAUUUGUGAUUGCCGAGAAGAGUUUGUGACCAAAGGGGAGGUCCUCUACUGUGUUUUGGACCUCUCUCAGUAACCCUGAAAGCUGGGGCAUGGACACCCUGCGUAUAACUACCACCAUGGAGA
This is a long non-coding RNA of Trachemys scripta elegans, 458 nucleotides long. RefSeq lists it as uncharacterized. The record is from RefSeq and is a predicted model, not a curated record. The transcript has 3 exons. NCBI's taxonomy places the organism in Eukaryota, Metazoa, Chordata, Testudines, Emydidae.